This 301-nucleotide ribosomal RNA is filed under the name uncultured bacterium. RNAcentral describes it as "partial 16S ribosomal RNA". It matches the Rfam family "Bacterial small subunit ribosomal RNA", at positions 509 to 807 of the family's 1533-position model. The record is from RNAcentral.
CAGUCGCCGCGGGAAUACGAAGGGUGCAAGCGUUACUCGGAAUUACUGGGCGUAAAGCGUGCGUAGGUGGUGGUUUAAGUCCGUUGUGAAAGCCCUGGGCUCAACCUGGGAAUUGCAGUGGAUACUGGGUCACUAGAGUGUGGUAGAGGAUAGUGGAAUCUCCGGUGUAGCAGUGAAAUGCGUAGAGAUCGGAAGGAACAUCUGUGGCGAAGGCAGCCCCCUGGGCCAACACUGACGCUCAUGCACGAAAGCGUGGGGAGCAAACAGGAUUAGAUACCCGCGUAGUCCCUGUCUCUUAUAC